Bombyx mori (domestic silkworm) is the source of this 83-nucleotide non-coding RNA. NCBI's taxonomy places the organism in Eukaryota, Metazoa, Arthropoda, Insecta, Lepidoptera, Bombycidae. The record is from Rfam.
UUAACUCAUAUUUGUAUGGAGUUAGAACGUUUGCCUACGUUUGCGCUAAGGGCGCUGUUCCAACUGCAUACAAAUUUGAGUUA